UUGGGUUAAGUCCCGCAACGAGCGCAACCCCUGCCUGCCAGUUGCCAACGGGUGAAGCCGGGCACUCUGGCGGGACUGCCAUCGACAAGAUGGAGGAAGGUGGGGAGUGACGUCAAGUCAUCAUGGCCCUUAUGUCCAGGGCGACACACGUGCUACAAUGGCCGGCACAGCGGGAAGCGAGGCAGUGAUGCCAAGCGGAUCCCUUAAAGCCGGUCUCAGUUCGGAUUGAAGUCUGCAACUCGACUUCAUGAAGCUGGAAUCGCUAGUAAUCGCAGAUCAGCCAAGCUGCGGUGAAUACGUUCCCGGGCCUU
This 311-nucleotide ribosomal RNA is filed under the name uncultured Synergistaceae bacterium. Its description in RNAcentral is "bacterial SSU rRNA". It matches the Rfam family "Bacterial small subunit ribosomal RNA", at positions 1075 to 1382 of the family's 1533-position model. Lineage: Bacteria; Thermotogati; Synergistota; Synergistia; Synergistales; Synergistaceae. The record is from RNAcentral.